ACACAUGCAAGUCGAACGAGCGAGAGAGAGCUUGCUUUCUCGAGCGAGUGGCGAACGGGUGAGUAACGCGUGAGGAACCUGCCUCAAAGAGGGGGACAACAGUUGGAAACGACUGCUAAUACCGCAUAAGCCCACGGCUCGGCAUCGAGCAGAGGGAAAAGGAGCAAUCCGCUUUGAGAUGGCCUCGCGUCCGAUUAGCUAGUUGGUGAGGUAAUGGCCCACCAAGGCGACGAUCGGUAGCCGGACUGAGAGGUUGAACGGCCACAUUGGGACUGAGACACGGCCCAGACUCCUACGGGAGGCAGCAGUGGGGAAUAUUGCACAAUGGGGGAAACCCUGAUGCAGCGACGCCGCGUGGAGGAAGAAGGUCUUCGGAUUGUAAACUCCUGUUGUUGAGGAAGAUAAUGACGGUACUCAACAAGGAAGUGACGGCUAACUACGUGCCAGCAGCCGCGGUAAAACGUAGGUCACAAGCGUUGUCCGGAAUUACUGGGUGUAAAGGGAGCGCAGGCGGGAAGACAAGUUGGAAGUGAAAUCUAUGGGCUCAACCCAUAAACUGCUUUCAAAACUGUUUUUCUUGAGUAGUGCAGAGGUAGGCGGAAUUCCCGGUGUAGCGGUGGAAUGCGUAGAUAUCGGGAGGAACACCAGUGGCGAAGGCGGCCUACUGGGCACCAACUGACGCUGAGGCUCGAAAGUGUGGGUAGCAAACAGGAUUAGAUACCCUGGUAGUCCACACCGUAAACGAUGAUUACUAGGUGUUGGAGGAUUGACCCCUUCAGUGCCGCA
This 786-nucleotide ribosomal RNA is filed under the name uncultured bacterium. RNAcentral describes it as "bacterial SSU rRNA". It matches the Rfam family "Bacterial small subunit ribosomal RNA", at positions 51 to 850 of the family's 1533-position model. The record is from RNAcentral.